AUUGCUUCUUAGCUUCUUGGAUCUAAGAUCAAAUUGUAGUGUCUGUUCUUAUCAUUUUAAUAUCUGAUAUGUCCUUUAUUUAAAGACUUUAUAUUAAAUUGAUUUUUGAAACAGGGGGCUGGAAUAGGAGCUUGCUCUGUCCACCCCAUGCAUUGACCUGGUAUUGCAGUACCUCCAGGACCGGUGCAUCUCCU
This 194-nucleotide small nuclear RNA is filed under the name Terrapene triunguis (Three-toed box turtle). RNAcentral describes it as "Terrapene carolina triunguis (Three-toed box turtle) U2 spliceosomal RNA (ENSTMTG00000009849.1)". It matches the Rfam family "U2 spliceosomal RNA". From Rfam's summary of the family: U2 is a small nuclear RNA (snRNA) component of the spliceosome (involved in pre-mRNA splicing). Complementary binding between U2 snRNA (in an area lying towards the 5' end but 3' to hairpin I) and the branchpoint sequence (BPS) of the intron results the bulging out of an unpaired adenosine, on the BPS, which initiates a nucleophilic attack at the intronic 5' splice site, thus starting the first of two transesterification reactions that mediate splicing. The record is from Rfam by way of RNAcentral. Lineage: Eukaryota; Metazoa; Chordata; Testudines; Emydidae.